Molecule: long non-coding RNA, 520 nt
Organism: Coregonus clupeaformis (lake whitefish)
Lineage: Eukaryota; Metazoa; Chordata; Actinopteri; Salmoniformes; Salmonidae
Exons: 5
Source: RefSeq, a predicted model, not a curated record
UCAGGAAAGCUGAGUCAGCCAUCUUGAAUUUGCCUUGAUGCGGGGAUGUUUGGGCCGCCCGUGUGGAUGUGGAACACAGUUUAAUUUGUUUUAAUUUGUUUGCAAUGCGCACUUUUAUGCUUCCCGCUUGAAACCACCACCACCUCCGUUUUUAUCAUUAGUCUUAUUGCCCUCGUUUUCUUAAGCGCCAUCUUAUCAUCACCUCUGAUUUGCGGGUUUCCUGGAUGAACUACAUUUCCCAUAAUGCAUGUUUGCCCGGGACAUUGACGGUGGAGGAAGGUCCAUGAGUUUUCGCUGUUCGCCGGUAAUGCAAGCUCAAGUGUGUGGUUGUGAGAUCAUCUCGAAAUCCUUUUAACAGUUCAGAUAUCGGACUACAAAGAGUGCUACAGAGAGCCAGCGUUUCACCAUCAGACAGGUGCUAAUAGGCUGAAGUUGGCCCAAUGGAGUGGAAGUGCAAGUUGUGUUCUGCAACUUCAAAUACCCGGGGACAAUUAUUUUGGCACUAUACUGUACUGCAUAG